RNA transcript from Musa acuminata subsp. malaccensis (wild Malaysian banana), 1922 nucleotides. RefSeq lists it as uncharacterized. The record is from RefSeq and is a predicted model, not a curated record. NCBI's taxonomy places the organism in Eukaryota, Viridiplantae, Streptophyta, Magnoliopsida, Zingiberales, Musaceae.
UCGACCAAAUCGCUUCCGUUAAAAUCCGAGUGCCGAUACCUUCCCCUCCUCUCUCUCUCUCUCGCUCGCUCGCUCUCUCCCUCGUUGGGAUUUCCUCUUCCAUAGGCCGUGGGAGUAGUUACAGUAGCGGAAAGAGAGAAGGGGUUCCUUUGUGCUCUAUUGAGGGGAAGUUCUUUGGUGAUGGAGGCCUCGAAGCUACUGAUAGCUUCGAUCGCGAUCUCCCUCGUGUUUGUCGGGGUUUGGGCGGACGCGGGGGCCGAAGAGGAGGCGGUCGUCGUCGAACCAGAUGUCUCAGAUUCGGUGCUCAAGUUGGAAUUGGAGCAGCUUAGGUCCAAGAUCUCCGCCCUAGAAUCUAGUAUUUUGGAUAAAACACGUGAAUUGAAGAGCAAAGAUGAGAACAUUGCGCAUUUGGAAAAGAUCAUCGAAGAGAAGUCAGUCAGCAUUUUAUCAUUGCAGAGCGAGAUAGAAUCAGUCCAGAGGAAAGGAGCUGUAGAUGCUGAGGAGCUUCUUAAAAGGGCCAAUCUUGAAGCUGGUGAACUUGGGAAGCUGGUAGAGAAACUAAAAAAUGAGAUUGAGUUACAGAAUAGGAGAAGGCAUGCUUUGGAUGCUCGGGCUAGUGAAGCUGAAAAGAAAGUGCAAGAACUUAAUUUGAAAUUGGAAAAUCUUGAAAAAACAAAUGAUGAGCAAAGGCAUAGAAUUCAGAAAACUGAACGUGCUCUUAAAGUGGCAGAGGAAGAGCUUAUGAGGGCACAGCUAGAAGCAACUGCGAAGUCAAAGGAGUUGUCACAGGCUCACGGAGCUUGGUUACCACCUUGGCUUGCUGCUCAUAUCAGUCAUUAUCAGGAACUUUCAGCAACUUACUGGAAGGAGCAUGCAAAACCUGCAUUAGAUGUUAUCCUUGAGAAGGCUUCUGAGAAAUUAGUUCAGGCACAGAAAUGGGUGGAGCCCCAGUUGGAAAUAGCCAAAACUAAAUGGGUUCCUGCUAUUAAAGAGCGAUGGGUGAUUCUUGUGACCAAUGCUGAGCCCUAUGUGCAAAUUGUAUAUACUAAAACAGUAGAAGUUUAUCACACAUCUAAGGGUACCAUAGCCACAUAUGUUAUCGAGGUGCUGGAACUGGCAGAUCCCUACUUCCAGGUAAUGAAGAAAUUUUCCAAACCGUAUAUUAAUCAAGUUGCUACUAUCACCAAACCGCAUGUUGAGCAGAUGCAAGUCUAUUUGAAACCCUAUACAAAGCGGGUAGUUCUUGCUUAUGGAAAGUUUCUUAAAUCAGCAACAACUUAUCACCGUCAGGUCCAAGCUGGCAUCCGGGAACAUUUAAAGCGUUAUGAAUUGACAAAAGUUAUUGCAACUAAAGAGCUGGUGUGGUUCAUGGCUUCUGCUCUGUUGGCUUUACCUAUUUUCCUUGUAUACAGACUCUUAUUAAAUACAUUCUGCUCUAAGAAGACAAUAAAGUCAACACGAAAUGGCGAUUCAAACCACACACACCGCAAGCCUAAGCAUAGGCAUGCUGACAAGUAGAGCAUGAUGAUAUUUUUCAAGGAAAGAGACACCAGAAGAUUGGAUUCUUAUAUUGAGACAGAAAUUGUAGGAUAUACUGUUACUAUCUGAAGCACGUAAUGGUCGAUUAUGCUGUUUAUCCCAGAUGACUGCCGAACUCGGAAUUGGCAGUGUACCAUACGUUCUACUUUGAUGUCCAGGGCAAAUUUGUUUGGGGGUUUCCAAAAAAGGAAAAAGAAUUAUACUUAGAUAUUGCAGAAUUCUGCAGUAAAGAGUGGCAGUCUGCAUGAUGUUUUGAGUUGUUUCACCUGUUAUUUAUUGCUUUAACAUAAAUUCCUGUUCUUUGAACUCUGUGACCAUCCUCCCUGUUAAAAAUUACAGUUGUUAUGUUGGAUUGCUUUGUCAUGAUUGGUUGUUGAUGGGUC